This 235-nucleotide ribosomal RNA is filed under the name uncultured Paracoccaceae bacterium. RNAcentral describes it as "uncultured Rhodobacteraceae bacterium partial 16S ribosomal RNA". It matches the Rfam family "Bacterial small subunit ribosomal RNA", at positions 87 to 339 of the family's 1533-position model. The record is from RNAcentral. Lineage: Bacteria; Pseudomonadati; Pseudomonadota; Alphaproteobacteria; Rhodobacterales; Paracoccaceae.
CGGACUUAGCGGCGGACGGGUGAGUAACGCGUGGGAACAUACCCUUUGGUACGGAAUAGCCUCGGGAAACUGGGAGUAAUACCGUAUGUGCCCUUCGGGGGAAAGAUUUAUCGCCAAAGGAUUGGCCCGCGUUGGAUUAGGUAGUUGGUGGGGUAAUGGCCUACCAAGCCGACGAUCCAUAGCUGGUUUGAGAGGAUGAUCAGCCACACUGGGACUGAGACACGGCCCAGACUCC